CCUACGGGCGCAGCAGUGGGGAAUAUUGGACAAUGGGGGGAACCCUGAUCCAGCCAUGCCGCGUGUGUGAAGAAGGCCCUCGGGUUGUAAAGCACUUUCAGUGAGGAAGAACGCCUGGUGGUUAAUACCCAUCAGGAAAGACAUCACUCACAGAAGAAGCACCGGCUAACUCCGUGCCAGCAGCCGCGGUAAUACGGAGGGUGCGAGCGUUAAUCGGAAUUACUGGGCGUAAAGCGCGCGUAGGUGGCUUGAUAAGCCGGUUGUGAAAGCCCCGGGCUCAACCUGGGAACGGCAUCCGGAACUGUCAAGCUAGAGUGCAGGAGAGGAAGGUAGAAUUCCCGGUGUAGCGGUGAAAUGCGUAGAGAUCGGGAGGAAUACCAGUGGCGAAGGCGGCCUUCUGGACUGACACUGACACUGAGGUGCGAAAGCGUGGGUAGCAAACAGGAUUAGAUACCCGUGUAGUC
Molecule: ribosomal RNA, 464 nt
Filed under: Vreelandella stevensii
Lineage: Bacteria; Pseudomonadati; Pseudomonadota; Gammaproteobacteria; Oceanospirillales; Halomonadaceae
Description: partial 16S ribosomal RNA
Rfam family: Bacterial small subunit ribosomal RNA
Source: RNAcentral